RNAcentral lists this unclassified non-coding RNA (212 nucleotides) under soil metagenome. RNAcentral describes it as "partial contains 5.8S ribosomal RNA, internal transcribed spacer 2, and large subunit ribosomal RNA". The record is from RNAcentral.
AACCUUAUGGACCUGCGGGCGUAUACCUGCGGAGGGAUCAUUACUGAGUGCGAGCCCCCCGGGGCCGACCUCCAACCCCAUGUUAUCUGACCCUGUUGCCUCGGGGGCGACCCGGCCGUUUGGCCCCGGGGCCCCCGGUGGAAACCUAUCCAACUCUGCAUCUUUGCGUCUGAGUACAAACUAAAUCAAUCAAAACUUUUAACAACGGAUCU